CGGUUUUGCUUAUCUGCAUUUAGCUGCGACUUUUUAUAGAACAGGCGGAACAACUGUAAUGUUUGCUGUGCAGUGUUACAAACUUGCCUUAGAUUUGUAGGUAACUAUUGAAAUAAAAAAUGUGGCAGUGGAAAAAUUAGUCCUUCCAAUGAAAAACGCAGCAAAGUUAAAACAGGUAUGUAUCAAGCUUGUGGAAGCUUAACAAGGCAUGUUAUCAAGAGUAUGAGGAUACAGGAUAAAAUAUCUAACAGUAAAAAGGGUAUAGUUAAUAGCAUACCCAGGAAUGUUAUGGCUUUUAUUACAGCUAGAGCGAGGAUUGUAAGACAUCUAAAAGUCAAUUACUGAAAUUUUUUCAAAGUCGUAAUGCAAGUUGGUUGGUAUAGUGUUUUUAUCAAGAAAAAGAUUAUUUUCAAAUAUUUUAAUACUUUCUAAAAUGAAUAAAACUACUGGAGCUAUUUACCUAGAAAGUGGUGGGAGUGUGGUGUUGAAGAGGCUCUUCAAGCUCUUAUUCCAACCGAGUCGAAAAUAGGAUACGAAAAAUGUUAUAGUGACGUCUAAAACUGGCAGCAAAUUAAUAAUUGUGCAAAAAUAGUUAAUGAAAAUGUUCUUCUGGCGUAUUUUGAACAAGUUUCCAGUUGUUCAUCUCUGUGGGUAUAUUAUUCGAUGCUACGAUGUGUGAUCAAUAUCAACAAGAACAUAGAUUUAACAUGUUAUGGACGCAGAGGAUGAUCAAUUUUUAAUGUGCAAGGUAGUGUCCAUGAAAUUUACAGUUUAUCUGUAAAUAGAUAUUAAAAUAGAGGAAAAUAUCAUAA
Zophobas morio is the source of this 812-nucleotide long non-coding RNA. RefSeq lists it as uncharacterized. The transcript is spliced from 4 exons. The record is from RefSeq and is a predicted model, not a curated record. NCBI's taxonomy places the organism in Eukaryota, Metazoa, Arthropoda, Insecta, Coleoptera, Tenebrionidae.